GCUGGGGUGGCCGAACCUGGCUAAGGCGCAAGCCUGGAGAGCUUGUGGCGCUUACGCGCCGUAGGGGUUCAAAUCCCCUCCCCAGCG
RNAcentral lists this transfer RNA (87 nucleotides) under Candidatus Bathyarchaeota archaeon. RNAcentral's name for it is "tRNA-Ser". It matches the Rfam family "tRNA". Rfam says of the family: Transfer RNA (tRNA) molecules are approximately 80 nucleotides in length. Lineage: Archaea; Thermoproteati; Candidatus Bathyarchaeota. RNAcentral also lists the same sequence under 2 other names. The record is from RNAcentral.